Molecule: long non-coding RNA, 487 nt
Organism: Rhipicephalus sanguineus (brown dog tick)
Lineage: Eukaryota; Metazoa; Arthropoda; Arachnida; Ixodida; Ixodidae
Exons: 3
Source: RefSeq, a predicted model, not a curated record
GGAGUUCGGAUAUAUCAGACUCUUCGUUGGCCUCGUUUUUAGGUGUUUGAUCCGUGACGUUUCGUCGAAAAAUCACAAGCGCGCAUGCCGUAGGUGUUUGCCUGGUUGCAAGAUCUUGCCGAUUUCAACGUUUUUCCACCUCUUCGGUUGGCGUACGCUGAACUGGACCCUCGCAGCAAGAAUGGCACGUGGGAAUUGACACCGCGAUCGUGGAACACAUGGCUGAUCUGCCUCGAAUAACUGCAAGCCGGCGCGUGCGUAGUGCCGUGGAGAACGAUCAGAAGUCCUGGACGACAAAGAAAAAAAACUUCAAAGGUUUGUUGUACAUGUUUUCCACGGCAACUGACAUAAACGUAAAAAAAAAAUUGGAAUGGUCAAAUGCAUGUGUCAAGUUUAACCAUUUGUAGUGGGCUGUGGACAUGAAUUAAGCAUUGCUGCACACAAGACUGGCUUGCCCUCAGUUUAUGCCCAGUACGAAAUUUUUUGC